CUUUGUGCUGGUAUGCCUGAUGACAAAAGGACAAUAUUAUAUUGAAUAUAGAAAGAUGUAACAAUAUGUUUCAUCAAUAUUCAUUUUUCAUCCAUCUUUUAAUAUUCAGAUGUUACUUUGUUCCUUGCUGUGAACAUGCAUAGCUCAAGAUUUUCUUUAUGUGUAUGAUGGUUAAUGUUGAGUGUCAACUUGAUUGGAUUGAAGAAUACAAAGUAUUUUUCCUGGGUGUGUCUGUGAGGGUGCUGCCAAAGGAGAUUAAUAUUUGAGUCAGUUGACUGGAAAAGGUAGACUCACCCUCAGUCUGGAUGGACACCAUCUAAUCAGCUGCCAGCACGGCUAGAAUAAAGCAGGCAGAAGAAAGUGGAAUGAGGCUUGACGUGCUGAGUCUUCUGGCUUUUAUCUUUCUCCCGUUCUGGAUGCUUCCUGCCCUUGAACAUCAGACUCCAACUUCUUCAGCUUUUGGAAUCUUGGACUUACACCAGUGAUUUGCCAGGGACUCUAAGGCCUUUGGCCACAGACUGAAGGCUCCACUGUCUGCUUCUGUACUUUUGAGGUUUUGAGACUCAGACUGGAUUCCUUGCUCCUCAGCUUGCAGACAGCCUCUUGUGAGACUUCACCUUGUAAUCAUAAGACUCUCUUUUUUGCUGGCUUUGAAGAAGCAUAAUGUCAUCUUGGGGAACCCAAGAAUCUGAGAGAAGUCUCCAACUAAUCAUCAGCUAGGAAUUGGGGUAACCUCUUCCUGGCAACCAGCAAGAAAAUGAGGCCUCCAACCUUACAUCAAAUAAUUGAAUUGUCAUAACUACCAUGUGAGCUUGGAAGUGAAUCCUGCCCCAGUUCUGCCUUGAGAUGAGACUACAUUACCAACCAACACUUCUAUUACAGCCUCAUGAAGCUUUGAAACAGAAGCGCCAACUAAGUUGUAACCAGACUCCUAAUUAACAGAAGCUGUGUGGUAAUAAAUGCAUGCUAUUUUAUGCAAAUAAUUUUGUGGUAACAUUGUUAUGCAACAAUAAAUAAAUAAUGUAAACAAUUUAAGAGUCUAUUCACCAAUUAUCUUCAAUUAUCUUUUCUACUCUGUUUUAUGCAAAGAAUUGGCUAGUAGAUAUCACAGGCUUUGAGGAUGAUAUGUUAUAUCUGGCAACAACUCAACUCUGCUGUUGUUAUGCAGCAGUCAUAGGCAAUACAUACAUAAAUGAGUGUGGCUGUUUUCAAUAUGAGUUUAUUUAGAAAAGCAGGUGAUAAGCUAUAGCUGGUCUUUGAGCCAUGGCUUGCUAAUUCUAGGUCUAAAACUACCAGAUAAAAAACAGAUUCAGAGAUUAAAUAUAAAAACAAAAGCCAGCUCUAUACUUUCUCUGUUAUUAAUAGAGUAAGCAGGUAGAAUAUCAAUAUCAAGUAAGCAGGAUAUCAAGGCUAUGGAUGACCUGGAGACAAACAACAAAUUUGUCCUAAUAAACAUUUAUAUAAUACUUUAUGCAAUAGCAGAACAUACAUUUUUACCCAUGUCAUAGGAAGAAUUAACCUUAGCAAUGUUAAAACCAUAGACUUUAACAAAUUUAAAAACUAGUACAAGUCAUAUAAAAUAUUUUAUUGGUUCAUAACAAAAUUAAACUAGAUACCAGUAACAGAAAUAUAUGUAAAAAUUCCUAAAUAUUUAGAAAUUUAUGAUGCAUUUCUAAGUGAGAUGAACAAAAACUAUUUUAGGCUACGUGAAAACAAGAAUGCAACUUAUCAAAAUUUUAAAUAUUCAUGUUAGAUGAUAAUUUAUAAUAUUAAAUGCAUUUGUUAGAAAAGAAGAAAUAUCUAAAUCAGUAAACUAAACUUUUGGAAAAUGAAAGUAAGAAGAGCAACUUAUAUCUAGAAUAAGCAGAAAGAACAGAAUAAUGAAUAUUAUAGCAGAAAACAAAAAAAUGGAAAGAGAAAACAACAUAGAAAAUAAUUGAAAGCAAAAGCUCAACGAUAGUUCUGUAGCCAGCCUAAGGAAGAAAAAAGAGGGAGAGGAAGAACACAAAUUGCCAAUAUCAGAAAUGAGAGAAAACCAUCACUACUGAUCCCACAGACACUAGAUGAAUAAUCCAGAAAUUUUGUGAAAUCACUAUAAGCUAAAUAAUUCCCAGAGCUCAAAAAUAAUUCCUGGUGUUAACAAGCCAGCAUGGAGCAGUCUCAUUGAACACUGGAGCUAUCCAUAGUAACACCAGAAAGAGGACUGAAAUAUAUGAAGAUUAAAAGCUAUUUUAGACCUGUCCUAAUAAAGCUUAAAACUGGCCUAAAUGUGAUAAAGCUGAUCUGAAAGUAAUUUAAGUGCCUUUCAUUUAAAAAGUAACAUUUUAUCCAGAAAAUCAUAAUGUAAGAUUAAUGAUAGGCAAUAGUCUUUCAAAAAAUAUGAGAUGCAAAGUAACAGAAGAGAAGGACCCACAAGCAAGUGAAAAAUCAGUCAUAAAAUCAGGCCUAAAAAAGAACUGAAUUCAUGGAAUUGGAAGAUAAAGAUGUCAAAAUAUUUUAAAUAAAUUACCUAAAGAGUCACGUAAACUUAGUGAAAAAAGAAAAAAAAAGCCCUUCUAAGGGGGUAAAAUGCAAUUAUCUGAAAUGAAAAAUUUAUUGGCUAUGCUUAAUGCCAGAUUAAAGAACUCCUAAGAAAAGAUCAGAAAAUGAACAGGGUGCAAUUUUACUCUGCUGCUCAGUUUUCCCAGCACCAUUUGUUGAGGAGACCAUUCUUUCCCCAUCCUAUAUUCUUGGCACUCUUGUGGAAAAGCAGUUGAUUGUAUAUACUUGGGUUUAUUUCUGGGUUCUCUAUUCUGUUCUAUUGGUUUAUAUGGGCCCCAUUUUUAUGUCAGUAGCAUACGGUUUUAAUUACUGUAGCACCAUAAUAUAUCUUUAAAUCAGGAAAUUCCAUGCCUCCAGCUUUGUUCCUCUUUCUCAAGAUAACUGGAUAUUUGGAAUCAUUUGUGUUUCCAUGUAAAUUUUAGAAUUGUUUUCCUAUUUGUGUAGAAAUGUCAUUAUUAUUUUGAUAUGGACUGCAUUGAAUUUGUACAACACUUCGGGUUUGGGGCAUUUUAGCAAUAGUAAACUCUCCAAUCCAUGAACACAGGGUGUCUUUCCAUUUAUUUGUGUCUUUUAAAUUUUCUUUUAUCAAUAAUUUAUAGUUUUUAAGGUAUAAGUCCUUCACUUUCUUGGUUAAGUUUGUUUCAAAGUAUUUUAUUCUUUUUGAUGUGAUACUAAAUAAAAUUAUUUUUUAAUUUCUUUUUGAGAUAGUUUGCUGUUAAUGUAUAGAAAGAAAACUGAUUUUUUAUAUUAAUAUUUUUAACCUGCAACUUGGCAGAACUAGUUUAUUAGUUCUAAAAGGGGUGUGUGUGUGUGUGUGUGUGUGUGUGUUUAGUCCGUAGGAUUUUCUGUUUAGAAGACCAAGUCAUCUGCAAGCAGAGAUAAUUGUACUUAUUCCUUUCCAGUUUUGAUGUCAUUUAUCACUUUUUUUCUAAUUGUUUUGGUUGACUUCCAGCACUAAAUUAAAUAGAGGUGGUAAGAAUGGGCAUCACCAUAUCCAAAAUCACCUCAGAAUGGAUUAAAGAAUUAUACAUAAGACCUAACACUGUAAAGAGGUAUCUGUGUAUUCACAUUAAUUGCACUGUUAUUCACAGUAGCCAAGAUAUGGAAAUAACUUAAAUGUCUGUGGACAGAUGGAUGAUUAAUAAAAAUAUGAUAUAUACAGACAAUAGAAUAUUUUCAGACUUUUAAAUGAAGGAAAGCCUGCCAUUUG
RNAcentral lists this long non-coding RNA (3751 nucleotides) under Homo sapiens (human). RNAcentral describes it as "HSALNT0019506". Lineage: Eukaryota; Metazoa; Chordata; Mammalia; Primates; Hominidae. The record is from RNAcentral.